RNAcentral lists this long non-coding RNA (2691 nucleotides) under Homo sapiens (human). Its description in RNAcentral is "HSALNT0373279". The record is from RNAcentral. Lineage: Eukaryota; Metazoa; Chordata; Mammalia; Primates; Hominidae.
CUCGUGAUCCGCCUGCCUCAGCCUCCCAAAGUGCUGGGAUUACAGGCGUGAGCCACCGCGCCCAGCCCUUUUCAUGUUCUUUGACUGUUUUUCUAUUGACUGUUCAUUCUUCCUAGUAUUAAUAACUUUUUGUAUAUUUGAGAUUAACCAUUUUUGCCUAUUAUGUAUUUUAUAUAUAUGUCAUAUGUCAUUUUAAAUAUAAUGAAAUGUAUUAGUCUUUGUGGUUUCUAGUUUUCAUGAUAUGUUUUGAAAGGCUUAAUUGUUUUGUUACAAAGUCUGAACUUGAGUUAUGAAUGCAAAUUUCCCCUCUCAAAUGCCUAAUCUGUUUCCCAAACACCAUUUACUUAUCCCUUAAGGGAUUUACUUUUCCCUAUUUGAUCUAUUUCCCACCAAUUUUAAAAUGUCAUCUUUAUCAUAUACUAACUUCCUGUAUGUUCUUGCGUGUAUAUGAAACUGGCACAUACAGGGAGACUCUUUAUUUAACUUUUACUUAAAGUAGGAGGUAGGAAAGAGAUCUGUUGAAACCAUGACAGAGAGUGUUGCAGCGCCUGUCAAAGUUAUCCUUGCUUAUUUGUAGAAAAAUUGAACUUUCCAUUUUCCUAACUUUCAACUUGCAAUUGAAUGACACUGAUUCUACUAGGAAAAAAGUAAAAGCUAUACUAUUUGAUGCCAGAUGUAUGACUGUGGGCUGAUGAGGAAGAACUGGAAACAAAUGACAGAUAUGCAGGAGGAGAUAUCUUUUUAUGGCUUAGCAGAAUGCUGCUCAAAGCGCCAGUCUCUGAAGCUCUUUGUUCCUGACUUGCAACCAGGUACUUUAGAUUUUCUACAUCUAAUGGUGGCAAAUAAAUCCACUAGCUGCCAAAUACAUGGGAAAUGAUCUGUGAAAACCACAAGUGGCCCAACAAACUGUACGUCUUCAAUUUGACAGCACAAAGGAAUUAUUGAACAGAAGCUGAAAAAGCAUACUGCUUGCAUUUCAGGUGUUCUGGGACUCAGUGUUAGAAGCUGUCUGUCUGUAAGAAUCUUGCUGUCUCUGCCUCAUGAAAACAAUUGCAGUGAUGAGAACCAGUUACUAAUGGCAUACAUCACACAUUUCAGCCCAUCUUCUGGGUGAGCAGGUGGUUGAGCUGUCCCUCGCCUUUGAAUCAGGAAGUUAGCAUCAAAAAUGGUAUGUUGCUUUUCCUUCCUUUUAUUUUAUUCAGUCUUGGCAUGGUGUGUCACCUAAUUAACAAAACAAAUGUAAUUUUAUGUGACUUUACCUCUUUUCAUGGCUCAUUAUUUUCCUCCAAUGUAAGAAAUUGAUGUUCACAUCAUUUCUUAUCCUCCCUCCAUCUAAAAGGAAAUGUCCAAUUUGGAAGACAUUUUCUUUAGUCUUCUAUGAAAGCCCUCUCAUGACCUUUCUGCUUGCAAACAAAAGAAUCAUUUCCUGAUCAGCACCAGCAGUCAGCUCCUUUACAAUGGAACCCAUUUAAGGUCAGUGCUGGCCUAUAAUAGAACUACUUAAAUAAGUGUAACUUCAAAGAAAAAUGGAAAUAAUGUGUAAUAUUGAGAUGUGAUAACAUCUUAGAGAAAAUAGUUCGUUUUUCUGCUAUUUUUAAAGUAGUAGCCAAUGGUGUGAAGCGGUUUCUAAAGAAAGCUCACACCACAUCCCACCACCAGAAAGCUCCUCCACAACGUGGGCUGGAUCCAAUUCAGUUCCCAAUAUGGCGUUUCAGGAGAGAUUGUCAUGGAUUAGAGGAAGGUAUUCAAGAUGAUAAAGGGCCUAGAAAAAAUAUCUUGUUGGGAGUGUUUAAAAAAAAAAACUUUAGACAAAUUAAAUUGAACAGAUUUUAACUGAGUGAAGAACGAUUUGUAAAUUGAGUAGCUACCCCCCACCUCCCAACCCGAAUAGGUUCGGAGUUACUCAGGCAUUGCCAGGAGUUCAAAAGGAUAUACGCACAGAUAAAGGAAAAUGAUGUACAGAAAAUCGAAGUGAGGUACAGAAAACGGAAGUGAGGUACAGAAGACGGAAGUGAGGUACAGAAAACGGAAGUGAGGUACGGAAACUGCUGGGUUGCUUACAGCUCGCGUUUGCCUUCUUAGCACGGUUUGAGAGGUUGGCUGCCUGUGAGUGGUCAAAGUCUGGCUGCUGGGAUUAGCUGAGACUUAGCUACUUGUUCCAAGAGCAGGUUCCGGUCUGUUUCCACAUCCAGUCAGGUUUCAGUUCACUAUGUACCCAGAAACCUUGAGGCUGAACUUAAAAUAUGCGAGGAAGCAGCUUUAGGUGAAACAACGUAGCAGGAGUAUAGCAAAAGUUCAGUCUGAUAUAAAGGAGAUAGGACAGACGGAUGCCUGUGGCCAUUGUCCAUCUUUGAGAGGGUAUUUAAAGGCUGGCUUGUUCUGUUUUGCUUCUGAGACAUACUAAGUACCGAUCGGUAGAAAGUGAAAGCAAAUGAUGGCAAGGACACCUCAUAAAUUAGUGAGUCACUCCCCAUCAUUUGAGAGUAUUAAGCAAGAGGGUCAACGAUUAUUUGUAGGACUAUUUUAGUCCUACAAAUUUUAAAGGCAUUUCCUGUGCUGGGUGGAUUUUUAUGAUUCUUAUAUGAGCAUGCUCCGUUUUUCAUGAUGCUAAAGAGGAAAUACUUGCUUUGUUAAUUUAAAAUGGAUUAAUUUAAACAAUUCUUGGCUGGGCGCAGUGGCUUACGCCUGUAA